This 773-nucleotide ribosomal RNA is filed under the name uncultured Neocallimastigales. Its description in RNAcentral is "partial large subunit ribosomal RNA". It matches the Rfam family "Eukaryotic large subunit ribosomal RNA", at positions 22 to 628 of the family's 3401-position model. Lineage: Eukaryota; Fungi; Neocallimastigomycota; Neocallimastigomycetes; Neocallimastigales. The record is from RNAcentral.
GUACACGCUGUGACUAGCAUAUCAAUAAGCGGAGGAAAAGAAACUAACAAGGAUUCCCCUAGUAACGGCGAGUGAAGCGGGAGAGCUCAAAUUUGAAAUCUUAAAGGGUUUCCCUUUACGAAUUGUAGUUUAAAGAAGUGUUUUCUGUUGAGGUUUUGGUAAAAGUUCUUUGGAAUAGGACAUCAUAGAGGGUGAGAAUCCCGUAUUUGACCUUUACUUUCAACUUUGUGAUACACUUUCGAAGAGUCGGAUUGUUUGGGAAUGCAGUCCAAAAUGGGUGGUAAAUUUCAUCUAAAGCUAAAUAUUGGCGAGAGACCGAUAGCGAACAAGUACCGUGAGGGAAAGAUGAAAAGAACUUUGAAAAGAGAGUUAAACAGUACGUGAAAUUGUCAAAAGGGAAGCGUUUGACACCAGUGUUGUUUUUCUGAAAAUCAAUUAAAGAACUGUUUAUGCUAAGCUGUUUAGACUUUAUCAGCUAUCUGUUUAGUUUUGAGCUUUUCUUUAAUGCACUUUUCAGUUAACAAGUCAACAUCAAUUUCUUUUGCUGUAAAAAAGCUUGAGGAAGGUGGCUUGAGAUUCGUCUUAAGUGUUUAUAGCCUCUUGCCUAUGCAGUCGGAGAGAUUGAGGUCUGCAGCGUAGAUCCUUCGGGGCUAAAUGCAUUUGUGCUAAGUUAUAGCAUUUUAUAGACAACUUGUUGACUAUGAUUUGUCUUGUAGCUUACUCGCUUAUGUUAUUUUACCUACGCUUAGGAUGUUGAGUCGUAGAGCACGCAG